UACGUAGGGUGCAAGCGUUGUCCGGAAUUAUUGGGCGUAAAGAGCUCGUAGGCGGCUUGUCGCGUCGUCCGUGAAAACCUGCAGCUCAACUGCAGGCUUGCGGUCGAUACGGGCAGGCUAGAGUUCGGUAGGGGAGACUGGAAUUCCUGGUGUAGCGGUGAAAUGCGCAGAUAUCAGGAGGAACACCGGUGGCGAAGGCGGCAUCCUGGACCAAUACUGACACUGAGGAGCGAAAGCCAGGGGAGCAAACGGG
RNAcentral lists this ribosomal RNA (253 nucleotides) under uncultured bacterium. RNAcentral describes it as "partial 16S ribosomal RNA". It matches the Rfam family "Bacterial small subunit ribosomal RNA", at positions 524 to 776 of the family's 1533-position model. The record is from RNAcentral.